UCAGGAUGAACGCUGGCGGCGUGCCUAAUACAUGCAAGUCGAGCGAACCACUUCGGUGGUGAGCGGCGAACGGGUGAGUAACACGUAGGUGAUCUGCCCAUCAGACGGGGACAACGAUUGGAAACGAUCGCUAAUACCGGAUAGGACGAAAGUUUAAAGGUGCUUCUGGCACCGCUGAUGGAUGAGCCUGCGGCGCAUUAGCUAGUUGGUAGGGUAAAGGCCUACCAAGGCGACGAUGCGUAGCCGACCUGAGAGGGUGAACGGCCACACUGGGACUGAGACACGGCCCAGACUCCUACGGGAGGCAGCAGUAGGGAAUCUUCGGCAAUGGGCGAAAGCCUGACCGAGCAACGCCGCGUGAAUGAUGAAGGCCUUCGGGUUGUAAAAUUCUGUUAUAAGGGAAGAACGACUUUAGUAGGAAAUGGCUAGAGUGUGACGGUACCUUAUGAGAAAGCCACGGCUAACUACGUGCCAGCAGCCGCGGUAAUACGUAGGUGGCGAGCGUUAUCCGGAAUUAUUGGGCGUAAAGAGCGCGCAGGUGGUUGAUUAAGUCUGAUGUGAAAGCCCACGGCUUAACCGUGGAGGGUCAUUGGAAACUGGUCGACUUGAGUGCAGAAGAGGGAAGUGGAAUUCCAUGUGUAGCGGUGAAAUGCGUAGAGAUAUGGAGGAACACCAGUGGCGAA
Molecule: ribosomal RNA, 683 nt
Filed under: uncultured bacterium
Lineage: Bacteria
Description: bacterial SSU rRNA
Rfam family: Bacterial small subunit ribosomal RNA
Source: RNAcentral